AUUGAACGCUGGCGGCAUGCCUAACACAUGCAAGUCGAACGAGUGGCGGACGGGUGAGUAAUGUCUGGGAAACUGCCUGAUGGCGGGGGAUAACUACUGGAAACGGUAGCUAAUACCGCAUACCAUCAGAUGUGACCAGAUGGGAUUAGCUAGUUGGUGGGGUAACGGCUAACAAAGGCGACGAUCCCUAGCUGGUCUGAGAGGAUGACGAUCCAAAUGGGAACGGAGACACGGUCCAGACUCCUACGGGAGGCGGCAGGGGGAAAUAUUGCACAAUGAGCGCAAGCCUGAUGCAGACAUCCCGGGUGGAGGAGGAAGGCCUGCGGGUUGUAAAGUACGUUAAGCGGGGAGGCGUUACCCGCAGAAGAAGCACCGGCUAACUCCGUGCCAGCAGCCGCGGUAAUUC
RNAcentral lists this ribosomal RNA (406 nucleotides) under uncultured bacterium. RNAcentral describes it as "partial 16S ribosomal RNA". It matches the Rfam family "Bacterial small subunit ribosomal RNA", at positions 29 to 526 of the family's 1533-position model. The record is from RNAcentral.